RNAcentral lists this ribosomal RNA (468 nucleotides) under uncultured bacterium. RNAcentral describes it as "partial 16S ribosomal RNA". It matches the Rfam family "Bacterial small subunit ribosomal RNA", at positions 28 to 507 of the family's 1533-position model. The record is from RNAcentral.
GACGAACGCUGGCGGCGUGCUUAACACAUGCAAGUCGAACGGAAAGGCCCUGCUUUUGUGGGGUGCUCGAGUGGCGAACGGGUGAGCAACACGUGAGUAACCUGCCCUUGACUUUGGGGUAACUUCAGGAAACUGGGGCUAAUACCGGAUAGGAGCUCCUGCUGCAUGGUGGGGGUUGGAAAGUUUCGGCGGUUGGGGCUGGACUCGCGGCUUAUCCGCUUGUUGGUGGGGUAGGGGCUUACAAGGGCUUUGAAGGGUAGCCGGCCUGAGAGGGUGACCGGCCACAUUGGUACUGAGAGACGGCCCAGACGCCUACGGGAGGCAGCAGUGGGGAAUAUGGCACAAUGGGCGGAAGCCUGAGGCAGCAACGCCGCGUGCGGGAUGACCGCCUUCGGGUUGUAAACCGCUUUCGCCUGUGACGAAGCGUGAGUGACGGUAAUGGGUAAAGAAGCACCGGCUAACUACGUG